This 344-nucleotide ribosomal RNA is filed under the name uncultured bacterium. Its description in RNAcentral is "bacterial SSU rRNA". It matches the Rfam family "Bacterial small subunit ribosomal RNA", at positions 1 to 334 of the family's 1533-position model. The record is from RNAcentral.
GUGAGUAGUUCAGAGUUUGAUCCUGGCUCAGGAUGAACGCUGGCGGCGUGCUUAACACAUGCAAGUCGAACGGAGCUAUUUGAAAGCUUGCUUUUGAAUAACUUAGUGGCGGACGGGUGAGUAACGCGUGGGUGACCUGCCUUAUACUGGGGGAUAACACUUAGAAAUAGGUGCUAAUACCGCAUAAGCGCGCAGUUCUGCAUGGAACAGUGUGAAAAACUCCGGUGGUAUAAGAUGGACCCGCGUCUGAUUAGCUGGUUGGUGAGGUAACGGCUCACCAAGGCGACGAUCAGUAGCCGGCCUGAGAGGGUGAACGGCCACAUUGGGACUGAGACACGGCCCAA